UCCCGGUUGACGCAAUUGGUUAGCGUGUCAGACUUUUAAUCUGAAAGUUACGAGUUCGAGUCUCGUACCGGGAG
RNAcentral lists this transfer RNA (74 nucleotides) under Fusarium verticillioides 7600. RNAcentral describes it as "tRNA-Lys (TTT) (tRNA-Lys-TTT-2-1)". It matches the Rfam family "tRNA". Rfam says of the family: Transfer RNA (tRNA) molecules are approximately 80 nucleotides in length. Their secondary structure includes four short double-helical elements and three loops (D, anti-codon, and T loops). The record is from RNAcentral. RNAcentral also lists the same sequence under 1 other name. Lineage: Eukaryota; Fungi; Ascomycota; Sordariomycetes; Hypocreales; Nectriaceae.